This 279-nucleotide ribosomal RNA is filed under the name uncultured bacterium. Its description in RNAcentral is "partial 16S ribosomal RNA". It matches the Rfam family "Bacterial small subunit ribosomal RNA", at positions 506 to 784 of the family's 1533-position model. The record is from RNAcentral.
UGCCAGCCGCCGCGGUAAGACGAACCGUCCAAACGUUAUUCGGUAUCACUGGGCUUAAAGCGUGCGUAGGCGGCCCUGCAGGUGAGAUGUGAAAGCCCACGGCUCAACCGUGGAAUUGCGUUUCAAACCGCAGGACUUGAGGAAGACAGGGGUGUUGGGAACUUAUGGUGGAGCGGUGAAAUGCGUUGAUAUCAUAGGGAACACCGGUGGCGAAGGCGCAACACUGGGUCUUUUCUGACGCUGAGGCACGAAAGCUAGGGUAGCGAACGGGAUUAGAUA